AUGGAGGCCUUCAGCCCCAUAACAGCGCUCAUGGUGUCCACCAACCCCAUAGAGGUCCUCCAUGGAGUCCUCCAGCCCCAUAGCGGUGCCCGGCUGCGGGCGGCCGAGACGUUGGACGAGUCCGGAGGGGGCCUCGUGAAGCCCGGGGGGUCCCUGACCCUGGUCUGCAAGGCCUCCGGAUACACCUUCGGCGACUACUACAUGGGAUGGAUGCGACAGGCGCCCGGGAAGGCGCUCGAAUACGUCGCAAGUAUUAACAGCGGUGGUAGUAGCACAUACUACGCGUCGGCGGUGAAGGGACGCUUCACCAUCUCCAGGAACAACGGGCAGAGCACGGCCACCCUGCAGAUGAACAGCCUCAAGGCCGAAGACACCGCCACCUACUACUGCGCGAAAGGUGCUGGUGGUUAUGCUGCUCCUGGUGCUGCUGAG
Cygnus atratus (black swan) is the source of this 432-nucleotide non-coding RNA. NCBI's taxonomy places the organism in Eukaryota, Metazoa, Chordata, Aves, Anseriformes, Anatidae. The record is from the annotation of a RefSeq genome assembly.